This 225-nucleotide unclassified non-coding RNA is filed under the name Hevea brasiliensis (rubber tree). Lineage: Eukaryota; Viridiplantae; Streptophyta; Magnoliopsida; Malpighiales; Euphorbiaceae. The record is from RNAcentral.
AUUUGAUAAGAUUCCGCCUUUGGUUGAGAUUUACAGUUUGAGAAGUAGGGGUUGGAGAAAGGUUGAUAAUAAUGAUCUGAAAUAUGUCAUCGCUGAUUUGUCAACGUCUGCUUUUCUGAAUGGAACUUGUCAUUGGGUUGCCACUAAGCCACCUAAUGGGCCUGGUGCAUGCGAUGCGAUUGUGUCGUUUUCUUUGGGAGAAGAGGUGUUUGGGGAAAUGGAGGU